This is a non-coding RNA of Tetranychus urticae (two-spotted spider mite), 2603 nucleotides long. NCBI's taxonomy places the organism in Eukaryota, Metazoa, Arthropoda, Arachnida, Trombidiformes, Tetranychidae. The record is from RefSeq and is a predicted model, not a curated record.
AUGAGGCUACUUUGGUUGUAUCAACUGAAAAGCAUUUGAGUAUCAACUCAAAUAGACCAGUAAAGGCCGUAUUAUUAAUUCCGUUGAGACAAACCACUUUGUAUAAAUUAAUUAAUCACUCAUAAAGGAAAAUAAUUUGAAGGCACAAUUUAGUCCUGAAGGACACAACAAAUUAAUAUGAACCCAAUCCAACCAGAUGAAAAACACCAACCAUUGGAAUAUGGCGAUCGGCUGAUAAAAAGGGCAAAAGUUAAUACAAAUUGAUAAUCCAGAUGACAGCUGAUUUCGAUGGGGUCUUUCAACUGUUCAUAACUGCAGCUAACUGUCAAUGAAUCGAAAGGUGCCACUCAUGAUGUGUGUGUCUGUCUGUCCAAGAUGAUGACGAUCUGUUGCUCUCUCGAUCUCUCUCUCUUAAUGUUUGGUACUCUUAAUGCUGAUGCUGGUGCUGGUGGGUGAGAUCAGUUAAGGUUGGGUUACUUGGUUUUGCUUUUGUCGCAAGGGAGGAUUCAAGAUUGGGUGGGAUUUUGCUCGCAUCCAACUUGUUACAGAUAAAUAAACAAAGAAUGGAAACAAAUUUUUUAAGAUAAUGAUAAUGAUGAUGAUGACGACGAUGAAGAUGAAGAUGAAGAAGAAGGUAGCAAAAAAAUGUUGUGAAAAGCAAGAAAGAAAAGAAAGAUUUUGUUACUUCUUUCAAUUUUCCUUUUUUUCUUCUUCUCUUUACAUUCUCUUUGAAAGUCGCUACAAAUUGGCCUGAAUUUUUAUUUACCUUUCUUCUUUACUCUCUUGAUCUGGUCAUUUCUCAGUCCAUUCAUCAUCAUCAUCAUUAUCAUCUUGUUGAUCAACAGAUUGACUUACAAAAAUGAGAGGAAAUAACCUUGAAAAUGUUAUAAUUUUGUUUCUUUUUCAUUUUGAGCUUGAGGAUGAAAUUGGAUGAAGACAAGUUUACCUGUAAUACAUGCACUUUCAUCUUCAUCUUGCUUGAAAUAUUUAGAUUGAAAUUGCGUUUGAAAGGUAAAUUGUUACCUUUACAAAUGCCAAUUGACCAAAACAGUAGAUUCAUUCCUGUGCUUAGUCAAGGUUAUCCCAAUUUUAAUCAUUUUCACUAGCUUAUCAAAUUAUUUACCUGUAAUACAGUAAAACAACGCCAAAUUUGACCUCAACCUUGGUCAAUAUUUCUUCUCUCUCUCUUCAAUAGACUGACUCACGCCCUUUCAUCAGCAUCAUGUUAUCCCUCCUUGAUCAUCAUCGUCAUCCAUCCUCUUAAUAGUAUAAUAUCAUUUUUCAUUUUCAACUAAAAUCUAUUGAUUACUAUUAAUGAUAUAUUGAUGAAUAUACUUUACCCAAGUAACCUUAGAAGUAAACAAGAGAAAUGAGACUUUUCCCUGUUAACAGAUGAUUAUCAUUUUUUGCUUUCAAACGUCCAACAAAAGAUACCUUUUUAUUCAUCAUAACCUUCAUGGUGGCCUAAGCCAAUUUGUCUCUACCUUAAUCAUCAUUAUCAUCAGGCCUUACUGAUGGUCUAAUCAUCAUAUCAACAUUGAUUUUGCUUCAUUUCAAUUUUUACCUUCAACCUCAAUAGUGAUUAGCUUUGCUUAUCAUUAAUAUGUAUAUUGGAUUAGUUGAGCUUUAAUUUUUCAUUAUUAUUUUUUUAUUUUCAGGGUUUUCACUUGUAUUUGGAUUAUCCAGCUUCUUUCCCGUAUUUCAGACACAAUCAAAUGGGGAUGAUUUACCUUCAUUGAUUCAGUUAUUAAUUCAGAUUAUAAGAUAAUUAAUCAUUCUACCUGUUCUCCUUCAAUAUGGUUAUGCAAACAGAAACAAAAAUAACUAAACUUGACGGUUUAGUCUCAAAUGUUUACUUUUUAAAAUAUCUAUUCAAUUGGUUGGUUAGAUGAUCAAAAGGUGCGAAAAAUUGACUAUUAAGAUUAACAUUAUGUCAACGCUAUUUAUCCAUGAUUAUCACUCUUGUCCUUAAAUGUGUUCAAGAUUUUUAAGGCAAUGAAAGCAACAAGUAAUUAAGAUAACCGAAGCAAUUUGGAGACAAUAACAAGUCUUGGACAUUUUAAUCUGUUGAUGUCAUGAAUGGACAAAGAAAUUACUCAUCGGGAUUCACAAUUUGACGAUGAAAUGUUAAUUCAAGGUGGAUUGAUUGUAGGCCAAACAAGCAAUUACCACAUCUAAAUUGUGACCUGGAUUAGGAAUAUAUUAUUGAUUCGUGAAUAAAUAAGCCUAGAUAAACGCCAUUAGCUAUUAAGACUAUUGUGAGCGUCAAAUUGUAUUUAUUUAAACAUGAUUCAUAGUUGAAUGUCUAAUCAAGCAAAAAACAAAUCCAGUUAAUCUUGAAAUUAAGCAAUACGAUAAAUAUGACCAGAAAAGGAAAGAUUUUAUUGAAAUCUUCAUUUGUAUUGAUUGAUAUCUAUUAAGCUUGUCUUGGGCUCAAUGAUUAACUCAUGUACUUUUUUAAUUAUUGUAUCAACUCGGAAAUGAAAUACAAUUUAAGAGUCUUUAAGGCUCACAUUUACAUGCUUUUCAACUGAUGACAGAGCUAAUUGUCACAAUAAGCCUACAUAUUGUAAUAAAGUCUUGCAAACGUUAAUUUGCUUUAA